RNAcentral lists this long non-coding RNA (3796 nucleotides) under Sus scrofa (pig). RNAcentral describes it as "lncRNA (ENSSSCG00030052800.1)". The record is from RNAcentral. Lineage: Eukaryota; Metazoa; Chordata; Mammalia; Artiodactyla; Suidae.
AAAUCUAUCUUAUCUUAAAAGAAUGCACCCUCUUCAUUUUUUAAAAAGGAUCAUUUUAAAGCUGCUGAGGGUUUUCCAAACAAAAGAAAAACUGUCUUGGCAAAACCGCAUCAAAUUUCAGAGACCAAAGAAGCUGAUGAAAGUGAUCCGGAUGCUCAAGGGUGAGGUCUGGGAGUGGGAGGGCCUUAUCCUGCUGUUUGAGAGAAUAUCUACGUUGGGGACUUGGAAAUCUGUUUCACUGUAAUGGUGGAAAACCAGCAGUAAUUCUGAAAAAAAUAUGGUUGCUGCAACCAGGAAAAGCAGAUUUCAAAGUACAAAGCAAGUCACCACAGGCAAUGCCAGUGAGGCAUUCCAGUGACACCAGAGCCCUUGAACAAAGCUGGAGCCCAGGUGACCUCCACAGGGCCCACUCCAGCAUUACUCCCUUUUUCAGGAUGAACAUUUGGGCUUUUACCCUGUGAAUGUGCCAGGCUCCACAAGGCCAAGGUCAGUCCCUCAGCCCUCCUGGAACACCCUGAUCUUUUCUAGGUACAAGUUUGCACGAUUCUAGGUACGAGUUUGCAGGAUGACCUCAGGUGGCUGGAGGGAAGAGAGCAGGAGCAGGACUAAAGAGAAAGGCAAUUCUUGGGGUCCAUUUCUUGAGACUGAUUCUUAGGAAAGAAAAAGAAAAAGCCACAGCAUAGUUUGCUUUCCUGUCCAUUUUCCCCUGAAAAGUAAUACUAUCCAUAACUAAGUGUAGGGCAAGAGGAGAAUUGACCUGCUAGUUAAGGCUGCCUCCUCUCCUCAGGGGAUCAUGAGCUUUGACCAGGAUAACCAGCUCGUUUUAGAGCACAUUAAGCACUAGACAGGGUAACAAACAGCUUCCUUUCAAAGCGUAAGAAAGCAAAAUGACAAAGUGGCCUGAGGUGGAAAAGCAAUGAUCAGAAACAUUAAAAAUAAUAGCAGCUGACAGAUGACAUUUAGGACCAGGGACCUCAUCCUCUGCUGGUUAUUAAUAUUCCUGCUCUCCUAUUAUCUUUUUGACGGGAAUGUAAACUCCGUUUGUCUUGGGAUAAACGCGAUACCAGAGCUGAGCAGAUAAGGAGGCGCUUAAUACGUAAUUGUUGGUGUAAACAAAUAAAUAGAUUGUAACGAUGUCAGAAAUGAUUAGUUCAGGUGGAGAGUGCGACUGGCUUCCAAAUAUUGGUCAAGAGCUCUAAGUAGGAUGAGCCAAGGAUACAGUUAAUGUAAUAGGUUCACACGAUCAGGUGACUUUUUUGGGUCUAGAAAUCUGAGGAGGUGACGAUGUACUGAACGGCAGUCUUCCUGCGAGGAAAGAGUUAAAAACACAUCCAGAUCAGGGUUUCUGAGGGACAAGGUGUUCAGCAGGGCUGAGGGCCUCCCUUUCUGCCGGCUGCUCCCCCACGCAGCAGGGGUGAUGCGGACCUUCCGGUCCUGCUGAGUGUGCUUGACCAAAGGUGACGAUGACUAAGGGCUAAGGCCGUGCCCUCCCUCCCUCCAAAUCGAUCCUUUAAUGUGACUUAUCAGAAAGAGAAAGAACUGUUUACUUUCAAACCCUGGAUCCCAUAAAGGGAGAGGGGCAAGGCCUAAAACCCUCACAAGCUCGAGGCUUGGCCCACACAGCCUGCAGAACUAGGGAGCGCGGAAGACACCAUCUCACGGGCACAGAAGGGGCCCUGGGCCCAGAGAAGACCUUCGCACACUGCAAGGUAAGUGCCACCCCCACCCCCAACCCCCCACCCCCCACAUUCCAGCGCCUUCCAACUCCCCUGUGUGAAUUAGGCUGUUCCUCUGGGGCACCACUGACUUCCAGAUGUGGGGUGAGCUGCGACCCAGGUGUUUAUAAAAAGACAUUCCCCGCUCCACCCCCACCCCCGGAGCUAUGUGCUGUGUUCUCUGCACAUUUGAAUUUGUCUGCCAUGGUUAUUCUAUUUCUUCAGAAAGCCUGAGAAAACUGGAGUCUUUGCUAAAGCUUCUUCUCUCCCCAGAGGAAGGAAAGGAUGAGGCUAGGGAGGAGUCUACACCUGGAGGUGGCGUGGAUUUUUAGUUCCGGCCUUGGAGGAGCUGUGUAGGAAGCCAUUUCCGGUUUAACGAUGGCCUGACUUCACAAUAAACACCAAGAUUCCACCAUUAGGAUACUUAGAAUUUGAAGGUUCAUUUGACCAGGAAUCCUCCCCUCCCCAUGCUUGGGAGCAGGCACAGCCCCAAGGCUCACUCUAUUUUGUUCCUCUACUCCUGAAACACCAGCAUCGGACUUGUUUCUCUGUCCCCCUGGUAUUGGUCCCUCGACAGCACUGGAAAUAGCUGGACAACCGCACAGAAAUGAAACCAGUUCCUAGGAAUCCCCCAGCCUCAGCAACUCUCUUUAAAAAGGGUCCGUUGAGACCCCAGCUUGGCUGAGAAUAUGCCCCAGGAUCCCCUCUUGGCUGGAGGUAAUGGUGUAACAGAUGUGGCAUAAGCUUUCCAGAUUUCCCCUUCUAGCUGAAUUUCAAUCAGAAAAGAAAGACUUCCCUGCUCCCUAUUGAGGAGAACAUUCUAUUUUAAAAUUUUCAUGUGCUUUCAAAAUGACAAGACUCAGGCAUAUGCUACUGACUUGCUUUGUCUUCUAGACUAUAAUAGCCUCUAAGAAUCAAACGGAUGCAUUUAACACAUCUAACUGCAAUGACAGAAAAUGUGGAUUUGGAAUUAAGAAAAAGCACAUCCAUUUAUCAUUUGCUUUUUAAGAAUCUUUUUUAGGUGCUGAAGGGUUAGGUUGGCAGCAAAGUGACACUUCACUUCCCCAAAGCAUUCUUUUCUCAGCCCUCUGGAGGUGGCCCUAGAAUGUUCUCAGACCCUGGGAAACAAAAUCUGAAAGCGAAGAUGAGCUGCUUGUGCCCCGAUCUGACCUGAGAUAGCAUAGGGAGUUUUAUGAUGUUCUUGGUACUUGCGAAUCUGAAAUAUCUUCCGAGGAGCUGUGAUGCACACGGAACACUCACAAGAGUAAUGAAAGCCUGAAGCAUCCAGGGCCCUCCUGGAGCAGCAGAGGGGAGCUCAGACGCCGCGAUAAGAUUCUGGGAAGUGAAAUGGGCUCAAGAUCUCGACCACUAGAGAGCUCUCCAAGGAUGCCCUACCAGGACCUUUGUCACUGGUGAACUGUUUCCUCCCCAAGAUUCUUUCCAGCUGAGCUAAGAGAUUUCUGGAGCCUCUCGCCAUGGUCAGAACAUCUCUUGAAUGACCAGGAAAUGGGGCUUCCUGUUUAAAUCUCUCGGGCAGAGACAAGGCAGAUGAGCCUGCCUAAGUCUUUAGAAAGAGCUGUAGGGAAGACCAGAGAUGGCUCAUCAUGCCAGGAUGUCCACUGUGGCCGCACCCAGUGUGCCAGAGGUCUAUGGCAGCGAUAGGGGUUACCUGGGAAUCUAGGGUUGGUAUUCGGUGUGAGUCUUGGUGAAAGUGCCCAGGGGAAAAGUUCCCCUGAAGACAGUGAGUCUAACAGUGGCCAAGUGGCACCUUCCUGCUGCCUGGCACACCUGUAAAGGUGAGCCAGGGUCACAGACAGGAGCUGGAGGAUGUCAGUCACAAACAAAUCAAAAUAGUGAAACAGAAAACAAGGGGCUGAUGCUGCACAGUUAAAACAUAUAUAUGUUAUAGAUCUUGAUAGAACUGGAAAGAAAAAAAAAAAAAAAAAAAGGCAGGAUCAACACUCCAGUCCCAUGGAAGCCGAGUGGCUUUCGUGGUGUGUUAACAACGGCACAGUCCAGGCUAAAGAGGGUGGUUUCAUGUUGAAUAAGGGGUAUUUUUACUAAAAAAAAAAAAAAAAAAA